GUCUUUCUUUUGCCUUCUUUUUUCUCUUUCUUUUUUCCUUUUUUCUUUUCUUCUUUCCCUUUUCUUUUCUUUUCAUCUUUUUUCUUUUCCCUCUUUUCUUUCCUCUUUUCGUCACUGUUUUCUUUCUUUCUUUUUCUCUUUCCAUUUUUUCUCUUUCCAUCUUUUUUUCUCUCCAUUCUUCUUUCUCUUUCUUCUCUCUUUCCUUUUUUCUCUUCUCUCUGUUUUCUUCUUUCCUUUCUCCCUUUCCUCUUCUUUCCAUUUUUCUAUCCUUUCACCUCUCUCCUGUUUUUCUCUUUCCUUUUUCCUCUCAUAUUUUCCUUCCUAUUUUCUUUUUCCUUUUAUUUUCCUGCCUUCUUUUCUUUCUUUGUUCCUCUUUCCUUUGUCUCUUUCCUGUUUGCCUCUUUCCUUUCUUCUUUCCUCUUUUCUUUCCCUUAAUUCCCGUUCCUUUUGGGCUCUUUUCUUUUUUCUUUCCUUCUGCCUUUUGCCUUUUGCCUUUUCCUUUUCUUUCUUUUUUUUCCUUUCUUUUUUCUUUCCUUUUUUUCUCUGCCUUGUUUCUUUUUUGCCGCUUUCCUUUCACUUUCCUUUAUCGCUCUUUUCAUUCCUUCCUUCCUUUCAUUUUCUGUUCUCUUCCUUUUUUGUGCGUGGCUUUCCUUUUUCUUUCUCUUUUCUCUUUCCAUUCUGCCUUUCCUCUUUUCUUUCCAUUUUUCUUUCUUUUUGCUCUUUCCUUCUCUUUCCCUUUUUGCUCUUUCUUUUUUCCCUUGUCUUUGUUUUCUUGCCUUUCCCUUCCUUUUGCUUUUCCCUUUUUUCUUUCCUUUUUUCCUGUUCUUCUUUCUCCUUUUGUUUCUUUUUGCUCUUUCCUUUUUUCUAUAUCCUUUUUUCUCUUCCCUUUUUUCUAUACUCUCUUGUCUCCUCUUUUUUUUCUCUUUCCUUUUUUUCUUUCCUUUUGUCUUUCUCAGUUCUCUCUUUCCUUCUUUCUCUCAUCUUUUCAUUCCUUUACUCUGUUUCUUUUUAUAAGGCUGCUGCCAAGGCCUUUUUUUCCCCUCUUGCCUUUUCUUUCUUUCCUUGCCUUUUCUUUCUUUCUUUCUUUGUUUUUCUCCCAUUUUUUCUUGUCUUUCCUUUUCUAUCCUUUUCUUCCCUUUUUUCUUCUUCCCUUUUUUCACUUUAUUUCUCUCUCCUUUUUCUUCUCUUCCCUUUUCUCUUUGGUUCUUUCUCUUCCUUUUUUUCAUUUCCUUUCUCUUUCCAUUUUCUCUUUCCAUUUUCUCUCCUGUUUCUUUCCCCGUUUCUUUCCUUUUUAUCUCUUUUCUCUCUUUCCUUUCUCCUCUUUCCUUUUUUUCACUUUCUUUUUUUUUUCUAUUUCUUUUCUUAUCUUCCCAUUUUUAUUUUCUUUCUUUUCUCUUUCCUUUUUUUUUUCUCUUUCCCGUUUUUACAGAUUAGGUCCAGGUUGAGCUGUUUCAAACAGGAAUGCACAAUGUUUCCUUACAGCUGUGAUGUCUUCUUUGCUCAUGCAAAGAAGCCUGAAGCUCCUGAUUUUUUCCCCGCAGCCUGUCCCCUUUUGGAGACUAAAAGCACCUCUGGCCAGGCGACUCAACUCUUCCUUGAUGCAUGCCCACGACAACCUUGCGGGGCUCUGAUGGCUCUCGAGCCCCGUUCAGCAUGCUCUAGUGACACUGCUGGCUGGUCAGAUGCUUCUCGUGGCCCGCAAGCAGGAAGAGGCAAUGGCAGCAGGUGCCCGGGGGAUUAUGGAGGGGCCCUGCGAAGCAGGACGGGAGCUCUCCAGGCAGCACCUGGAGGGCAUUUGCGGUGCAGAGACAUUUGAUAACUGUGCAGGCACGAGGGCAGGUGGUUUUUCCCUGCGCCUCCUUCUCCAAGCUGAGCUGUCACUGCCCAGCGGGAAAGCUGUCCACACUUGUGCUCCGUUGCUGGUCCCUUCUGCAGUUUUCCCAGCACUCCUGGAAGAACAGGGCGGGCUCUGAGCAGCUCCUGUGCAUCGUGCUGAGACUGUUUUUCACGUGAGGCAGCGGAGGGGCAGAGAGGCAUGUGGU
Molecule: long non-coding RNA, 2042 nt
Organism: Apteryx rowi (Okarito brown kiwi)
Lineage: Eukaryota; Metazoa; Chordata; Aves; Apterygiformes; Apterygidae
Source: Ensembl